UGGCGCGAUCCCGGGCUGGUACGGGUCUGAUCUGCCUCCGCAGCAGAAGACGCCGGUUCCAAUCCUGCCGCGUCAA
Molecule: transfer RNA, 76 nt
Filed under: Mycolicibacterium gadium
Lineage: Bacteria; Bacillati; Actinomycetota; Actinomycetes; Mycobacteriales; Mycobacteriaceae
Description: tRNA-Arg
Source: RNAcentral